This 403-nucleotide ribosomal RNA is filed under the name uncultured bacterium. Its description in RNAcentral is "bacterial SSU rRNA". It matches the Rfam family "Bacterial small subunit ribosomal RNA", at positions 355 to 774 of the family's 1533-position model. The record is from RNAcentral.
GAGGGAAUAUUGGUUAAUGUGCGAAAGCGCGAACCAGCAACGCCGCGUGUACGAAGAAGGCCUUCGGGUUGUAAAGUACUUUUCACCGGGAAGAGGAAGGACGGUACCGGUGGAAUAAGUCUCGGCUAACUACGUGCCAGCAGCCGCGGUAACACGUAGGAGACGAGCGUUAUCCGGAUUUACUGGGUGUAAAGCGCGUGCAGGCGGUCUGUUAAGUUGGAUGUGAAAGCUCACGGCUAAACUGGGAGAGGUCGUUCAAAACUGGCAGGCUAGAGUGUGGUAGAGGGGAGUGGAAUUCCGAGUGUAGCGGUAAAAUGCAUAGAUAUUCGGAAGAACACCAGUGGCGAAGGCGACUUCCUGGACCACAACUGACGCUCAGACGCGAAAGCCAGGGUAGCAAACG